CAAAUUGCAAUUUUUUGGCGGGAGAAGAAAAACAGACGGAGGAUACGGGGGUGAAGUAAAAUGACUGACAAUUAGUGACAGAGUAGAAAGAAACGUUGUAAGGUCGAGGAAUAGACUUUGAGGUGUCUGACUGUUGAAAAAUAGGUCCACGCGCUAUACCCAGGCAGGUCGGGCCAGUAUGCAGUUUUCUCCUCUUUGUCAGUUAGAGUACAAAGCACAUUUUGUUUGUACAGAGAGAAUAUAAGCGUACAGAUUACUUGUGAUGAAUCACCUUGUGGUGUGUGAUAUGUAUAUAUAUAUAAUGUUGUGGGUUGAUAAUACCUAUUAUGACG
Sesamum indicum (sesame) is the source of this 332-nucleotide non-coding RNA. The record is from RefSeq and is a predicted model, not a curated record. NCBI's taxonomy places the organism in Eukaryota, Viridiplantae, Streptophyta, Magnoliopsida, Lamiales, Pedaliaceae.